UACGGGGGGGGCAAGCGUUGUUCGGAAUUACUGGGCGUAAAGGGCUCGUAGGUGGCCAACUAAGUCGGACGUGAAAUCCCUCGGCUUAACCGGGGAACUGCGUCCGAUACUGGUUGGCUUGAGUUUGGGAGAGGGAUGCGGAAUUCCAGGUGUAGCGGUGAAAUGCGUAGAUAUCUGGAGGAACACCUGCGGUGUAGACGGCUUACUGGACCAUCACUGACGCUGAGGCACGAAAGCGUGGGUAGCAAACAGG
RNAcentral lists this ribosomal RNA (253 nucleotides) under uncultured bacterium. RNAcentral describes it as "partial 16S ribosomal RNA". It matches the Rfam family "Bacterial small subunit ribosomal RNA", at positions 524 to 776 of the family's 1533-position model. The record is from RNAcentral.